GACGAACGCUGGCGGCGUGCCUAAUACAUGCAAGUAGAACGCUGAAGGAGGAGCUUGCUUCUCUGGAUGAGUUGCGAACGGGUGAGUAACGCGUAGGUAACCUGCCUGGUAGCGGGGGAUAACUAUUGGAAACGAUAGCUAAUACCGCACAAGAGUAGAUGUUGCAUGACAUUUGCUUAAAAGGUGCGAUUGCAUCACUACCAGAUGGACCUGCGUUGUAUUAGCUAGUUGGUGGGGUAACGGCUCACCAAGGCGACGAUACAUAGCCGACCUGAGAGGGUGAUCGGCCACACUGGGACUGAGACACGGCCCAGACUCCUACGGGAGGCAGCAGUAGGGAAUCUUCGGCAAUGGACGGAAGUCUGACCGAGCAACGCCGCGUGAGUGAAGAAGGUUUUCGGAUCGUAAAGCUCUGUUGUAAGAGAAGAACGAGUGUGAGAGUGGAAAGUUCACACUGUGACGGUAUCUUACCAGAAAGGGACGGCUAACUACGUGCCAGCAGCCGCGGUAAUACGUAGGUCCCGAGCGUUGUCCGGAUUUAUUGGGCGUAAAGCGAGCGCAGGCGGUUAGAUAAGUCUGAAGUUAAAGGCUGUGGCUUAACCAUAGUACGCUUUGGAAACUGUUUAACUUGAGUGCAAGAGGGGAGAGUGGAAUUCCAUGUGUAGCGGUGAAAUGCGUAGAUAUAUGGAGGAACACCGGUGGCGAAAGCGGCUCUCUGGCUUGUAACUGACGCUGAGGCUCGAAAGCGUGGGGAGCAAACAGG
RNAcentral lists this ribosomal RNA (763 nucleotides) under uncultured Streptococcus sp. RNAcentral describes it as "bacterial SSU rRNA". It matches the Rfam family "Bacterial small subunit ribosomal RNA", at positions 28 to 776 of the family's 1533-position model. The record is from RNAcentral. Lineage: Bacteria; Bacillati; Bacillota; Bacilli; Lactobacillales; Streptococcaceae.